GACGAACGCUGGCGGCGUGCCUAAUACAUGCAAGUCGAACGCUUCUUUCCUCCCGAGUGCUUGCACUCAAUUGGAAAGAGGAGUGGCGGACGGGUGAGUAACACGUGGGUAACCUACCCAUCAGAGGGGGAUAACACUUGGAAACAGGUGCUAAUACCGCAUAACAGUUUAUGCCGCAUGGCAUAAGAGUGAAAGGCGCUUUCGGGUGUCGCUGAUGGAUGGACCCGCGGUGCAUUAGCUAGUUGGUGAGGUAACGGCUCACCAAGGCCACGAUGCAUAGCCGACCUGAGAGGGUGAUCGGCCACACUGGGACUGAGACACGGCCCAGACUCCUACGGGAGGCAGCAGUAGGGAAUCUUCGGCAAUGGACGAAAGUCUGACCGAGCAACGCCGCGUGAGUGAAGAAGGUUUUCGGAUCGUAAAACUCAGUUGUUAGAGAAGAACAAGGACGUUAGUAACUGAACGUCCCCUGACGGUAUCUAACCAGAAAGCCACGGCUAACUACGUG
This 508-nucleotide ribosomal RNA is filed under the name uncultured bacterium. Its description in RNAcentral is "partial 16S ribosomal RNA". It matches the Rfam family "Bacterial small subunit ribosomal RNA", at positions 28 to 507 of the family's 1533-position model. The record is from RNAcentral.